CCUGAAGUAGUUCAGCGGAAGAACGGCUGGCUGACCAGUUGGGCGCAGGUUCGAAUCCUGCCUUCAGGU
Molecule: transfer RNA, 69 nt
Filed under: Pseudenhygromyxa sp. WMMC2535
Lineage: Bacteria; Pseudomonadati; Myxococcota; Nannocystales; Nannocystaceae
Rfam family: tRNA
About the family: Transfer RNA (tRNA) molecules are approximately 80 nucleotides in length.
Source: Rfam by way of RNAcentral